Molecule: ribosomal RNA, 207 nt
Filed under: uncultured bacterium
Lineage: Bacteria
Description: partial 16S ribosomal RNA
Rfam family: Bacterial small subunit ribosomal RNA
Source: RNAcentral
UGCGUAGGUGGCGCCGUAAGUCGGAUGUGAAAUUUCGGAGCUUAACUUCGAAACUGCAUUCGAUACUGCGGUGCUUGAGGACUGGAGAGGAGACUGGAAUUCAUGGUGUAGCAGUGAAAUGCGUAGAGAUCAUGAGGAAGACCAGUGGCGAAGGCGGGUCUCUGGACAGUUCCUGACACUGAGGCACGAAGGCCAGGGGAGCAAACG